This 466-nucleotide ribosomal RNA is filed under the name uncultured bacterium. RNAcentral describes it as "partial 16S ribosomal RNA". It matches the Rfam family "Bacterial small subunit ribosomal RNA", at positions 28 to 507 of the family's 1533-position model. The record is from RNAcentral.
GACGAACGCUGGCGGCGUGCUUAACACAUGCAAGUCGAACGGAAAGGCCUCUUUCGGGGGGUACUCGAGUGGCGAACGGGUGAGUAACACGUGAGUAACCUGCCCUUGACUUUGGGAUAACUUCAGGAAACUGGGGCUAAUACCGGAUAGGAGCUCCUGCUGCAUGGUGGGGGUUGGAAAGUUUCGGCGGUUGGGGAUGGACUCGCGGCUUAUCAGCUUGUUGGUGGGGUAGUGGCUUACCAAGGCUUUGACGGGUAGCCGGCCUGAGAGGGUGACCGGCCACAUUGGGACUGAGAUACGGCCCAGACUCCUACGGGAGGCAGCAGUGGGGAAUAUUGCACAAUGGGUGGAAGCCUGAUGCAGCAACGCCGUGUGCGGGAUGACGGCCUUCGGGUUGUAAACCGCUUUCGCCUAUGACGAAGCUUGGGGGAAGGGAAGGGGUAAAAAAACCCCGGCUAAAUAAGGG